Nothoprocta perdicaria is the source of this 222-nucleotide long non-coding RNA. RefSeq lists it as uncharacterized. The record is from RefSeq and is a predicted model, not a curated record. The transcript is spliced from 2 exons. NCBI's taxonomy places the organism in Eukaryota, Metazoa, Chordata, Aves, Tinamiformes, Tinamidae.
GUACUUGAUCAUCGAGAACUUCAUCCCGCCGGAGGAGAAGAACAAGAUCAUGAAUCGCCUGUACUUCGACUGUGAGGAGGACCAGUGGAAGUUCCAGCCGCUUGUGCCUGCUGGCGGAAACAGCAACCAAAUGAAGAAGAGGCCGACGUCUGCCGUGGGCUACAAGAGACCCAUCAGCCAGUACGCCCGCGUGGCCAUGGCCAUGGGCUCGCAUCCCCGGUA